Molecule: transfer RNA, 76 nt
Filed under: Bacillota bacterium
Lineage: Bacteria; Bacillati; Bacillota
Description: tRNA-Arg
Rfam family: tRNA
About the family: Transfer RNA (tRNA) molecules are approximately 80 nucleotides in length. Their secondary structure includes four short double-helical elements and three loops (D, anti-codon, and T loops).
Source: RNAcentral
GCGCCUGUAGCUCAGUGGAUAGAGCAACGGACUUCUAAUCCGUUGGCCGCGCGUUCGACUCGCGCCAGGCGUACCA